CACGUAGGGCGCAAGCGUUGUCCGGAAUUAUUGGGCGUAAAGAGCUCGUAGGUGGUUUGUUACGCCUGCUGUGAAAUCCUAGGGCUUAACCCUGGGCUUGCAGUGGAUACGGGCAGACUAGAGGUAGGUAGGGGAGAAUGGAAUUCCUGGUGUAGCGGUGAAAUGCGCAGAUAUCAGGAGGAACACCGGUGGCGAAGGCGGUUCUCUGGGCCUUACCUGACACUGAGGAGCGAAAGCGUGGGGAGCGAACAGG
This 253-nucleotide ribosomal RNA is filed under the name uncultured bacterium. RNAcentral's name for it is "partial 16S ribosomal RNA". It matches the Rfam family "Bacterial small subunit ribosomal RNA", at positions 524 to 776 of the family's 1533-position model. The record is from RNAcentral.